This 137-nucleotide microRNA precursor is filed under the name Oryza sativa (Asian cultivated rice). RNAcentral describes it as "miR5512 stem-loop (osa-MIR5512a)". It matches the Rfam family "MIR5512 microRNA precursor family". Lineage: Eukaryota; Viridiplantae; Streptophyta; Magnoliopsida; Poales; Poaceae. The record is from miRBase by way of RNAcentral.
CUCUUGUAUUUUUUUUUAGCAUUACCAUAUCCUAUUUGGCAAUGAAUUUCAUAUACUAGAGUAUGUUCUUAAGAUUGGAUUGUCUAAAGUGAAAUUCAUUGCCAAAUAGGAUAUGGUAAUGCUAAAAAAAUACAUGA